AAAGAGAUGCCAGAGAAAUCUGACUAUUUCCAAGGUUUGAUUAUAAGUAUCUGGAAGCUACUUAGCUGAGCUGAGCUAUCUUCUUUGCACUUUCUAUCAUGGUUGGUUUAAUCAUAAUCGUCCUAUAAAAGUUACCACAUUGCUUCCUUCAUUCAUUCUUCGAGUCCAGAUAAUGUAUUAUCGUUUCCCUUGUGUUAAAGACAUGUGUUACUUCUUUGCACUUUCUAUCACAGUUGGUUUAUUCAUAAUCAUCCUAUAAAAGUUACCACAUUGCUUCUUUCAUUUAUUCUUUGAGGCCAGGUAAUGUAUUAUCACUUCCCUUGUGUUAAAGUCAUGUGUUACUUCAGUCAAAUUAUCAAGUGAAAAUUAGUAUGCUUAUUGAAUGGCUAUUCUUCUUU
Molecule: long non-coding RNA, 398 nt
Filed under: Amborella trichopoda
Lineage: Eukaryota; Viridiplantae; Streptophyta; Magnoliopsida; Amborellales; Amborellaceae
Description: long non-coding RNA (ATRI_LNC004860)
Source: RNAcentral